GUUGCUAUGAUUAACCAUGUUGAACGCGGUAACUUCGUCAAUUUAUGAGCCAGGAGUUUCGUCCAAGCUUCUUUUUACAGUAAAUGUUAUCUUUGUGUUCUUAUUGAUGACCGGAGUUGCUCUGAGUUUUAUGACUUUUUCAAUUCACAUUGUCAUAUUCACAGUUCUCGCUGGAUCUUUACUUCUAUCAAUUAAUUGGUUUGUCAGUGAAACGGGAAUGUUGGAAGAAAAUGAAAAAUCCAAAACAAAGCUGAAUUGAAAACUGAGGAUAUGUGAAAAUAUUCAGUCUAUUGAAUGUGAAAAUCGUAUGAAAAAUCCCACAACCAUAACAUUGACAUGCUGUAGAACUUUUAUUUACAGUUGAAGGAUAGUAGAGUUUCAUGUACAAUGUAACAAAAUAUGGUUGCAAUGUUAAUAAGUAGAGUCCUAUUAAGGUUAUCAAGUGAAGUAACUGGAAUGCUUAAAUGGAUGUUUAUAAAUCCAUAAAACCACAAUUGUCAACGCCAGAUAAUAUAUCACCCUAAAUUACUCAAUUGUUUUAGCUCGACUUACAUAGCCUAAAAAUAAAAUCAUUUGAACUCCA
Molecule: long non-coding RNA, 583 nt
Organism: Xenia sp. Carnegie-2017
Lineage: Eukaryota; Metazoa; Cnidaria; Anthozoa; Malacalcyonacea; Xeniidae
Exons: 2
Source: RefSeq, a predicted model, not a curated record